Zonotrichia leucophrys gambelii is the source of this 418-nucleotide RNA transcript. It is a transcript of the gene named TOG array regulator of axonemal microtubules protein 2-like, with no coding region annotated. The transcript has 3 exons. Lineage: Eukaryota; Metazoa; Chordata; Aves; Passeriformes; Passerellidae. The record is from RefSeq and is a predicted model, not a curated record.
CUGAACUCAAAGGAUCCCAGGAUUCGUGGGGCAGCUGUGAAAGCACUGGAAGAAUCCAUUGCUCAUUUGGAUAAAGUGUCACUGCUGAAAGAGUUCAGCUACCAAUGGAAUCAGCUGAGUGGCCAAGCCCUGCUGGAUGUCACCGAGCGUAUCACAGUGCCUGUGCAGGGGGUUCAUGCCAGGAGCCCUGAAGUCGCCCAGCGCGACGCCCUGCCCGUGCUCUGGUCCUGCCUGGGGAACAAGGCGCUGCCUGUGCCGAGCGCCAACGUCCGCACCGUGGCCACCAAGCUCGCCUCUGCCCUCUGCAAGGUGAUGGGCACCCAGCUGAAGGAAUGUGCUGCCAGCAAGCCUCCACAUGUGCGGGAAAACCUCUCCAAAAUGCUGGGCUGGUGAAGGCGAGAUGUUCUCCAGAAAGCUG